GAUGAACGCUGGCGGCGUGCCUAAUACAUGCAAGUCGAGCGAACAGACGAGGAGCUUGCUCCUCUGACGUUAGCGGCGGACGGGUGAUUAACACGUGGAUAACCUACCUAUAAGACUGGGAUAACUUCGGGAAACCGGAUCUAAUACCGGAUCAUAUAUUGAACCGCAUGGUUCAAUAGUGAAAGACGGUUUUGCUGUCACUUAUAGAUGUAUCCGUGCCGCAUUAGCUAGUUGGUAAGGUAACGGCUUACCAAGGCAACGAUGCGUAGCCGACCUGAGAGGGUGAUCAGCCACACUGGAACUGAGACACGGUCCAGACUCCUACGGGAGGCAGCAGUAGGGAAUCUUCCGCAAUGGGCGAAAGCCUGACGGAGCAACGCCGCGUGAGUGAUGAAGGUCUUCGGAUCGUAAAACUCUGUUAUUAGGGAAGAACAAAUGUUUAAGUAACUACGCACGUCUUGACGGUACCUAAUCAGAAAGCCACGGCUAACUACGUG
Molecule: ribosomal RNA, 497 nt
Filed under: uncultured bacterium
Lineage: Bacteria
Description: partial 16S ribosomal RNA
Rfam family: Bacterial small subunit ribosomal RNA
Source: RNAcentral